Molecule: ribosomal RNA, 1783 nt
Filed under: Teleopsis dalmanni
Lineage: Eukaryota; Metazoa; Arthropoda; Insecta; Diptera; Diopsidae
Description: bacterial LSU rRNA
Rfam family: Bacterial large subunit ribosomal RNA
Source: RNAcentral
CCCAGACCCACAGCUAAGGUCCCCAAAUACCAUUAAGUGGAAAAGGAUGUGAAAUUGCACAGACAACCAGGAUGUUGGCUCAGAAGCAGCCACACAUUUAAAGAGUGCGUAACAGCUCACUGGUCGAGUGGUUUUGCGCCGAAGAUGUAACGGGGCUAAAUGGUAUACCAAAGCUUGGGACUCAUAUGUAAAUAUGAGUGGUAGGGGAGCGUUCUCUAUGGGGUGAAGCAUGAGUGAAAACGCAUGUGGACUGUAGAGAAGUGAGAAUGCCGGAAUGAGUAGCGAGAUUUAUGUGAGAAUCAUAAAGGCCGAAUAUCUAAGGUUUUUGGAGCAAGGUUCGUCCCCUCCAAGUUAGCCGGGAGCUAAGGCGAGGCCGAAAGGCGUAGUCGAUGCACAUAGGGUAGAAAUUCCCUAGCCACCGAAGAGAAGAGGACACUUUGUAAAGUUUUAAGUAUGGCGUUGGUUGCCCGUACUUGAGAGGAUAUAGAGGCGAGAAAAGCCUUCUCGAAUAAAGGUGCCCGUACCGCAAACCGACACAGGUAGAUGGGAUGAGAAUUCUAAGGCCGUCGGGAGAAUGAUUGUUAAGGAACUCGGCAAAUUGACCCCGUAACUUCGGGAGAAGGGGUGCUCUUUAAAUAGAGCCGCAGAGAAUAGGUCCAGGCAACUGUUUAUCAAAAACACAGGUCUGUGCUAAAUCGAAAGAUGAUGUAUACGGGCUGACGCCUGCCCAGUGCUGGAAGGUUAAGAGGAGAAGUGAGAGCUUUGAAUUGAAGCCCCAGUGAACGGCGGCCGUAACUAUAACGGUCCUAAGGUAGCGAAAUUCCUUGUCAGGUAAGUUCUGACCCGCACGAAUGGCGUAAUGAUUUGGGCACUGUCUCGACAGCCCGCCCGGCGAAAUUGUAGUACCGGUGAAGAUGCCGGUUACCCGCGACAAGACGGAAAGACCCCAUGGAGCUUUACUGUAACUUGAUAUUGGACUUUGGUAUAUUAUGUACAGGAUAGGUGGGAGACUGUGAACCUGUGGCGCCAGCUGCAGGGGAGUCGUCCUUUGGAUACCACCCUUAAUGUACUGAAGUUCUAACCUGCCGCCAUGAAUCUGGCGGGGGGACAUUGUCAGGUGGACAGUUUGACUGGGGCGGUCGCCUCCCAAAGUGUAACGGAGGCGCGCGAUGGUGGGCUCAGGCCGGUCGGAAACCGGCUGUCGAGUGCAAUGGCAUAAGCCCGCCUGACUGCGAGAGUGACAGCUCGAGCAGAGACGAAAGUCGGCCAUAGUGAUCCGGUGGUCCCGCGUGGAAGGGCCAUCGCUCAACGGAUAAAAGGUACUCUAGGGAUAACAGGCUGAUCUCCCCCAAGAGUCCACAUCGACGGGGAGGUUUGGCACCUCGAUGUCGGCUCAUCACAUCCUGGAGGUGAAUUCGCUUCCAAGGGUUUGGCUGUUCGCCAAUUAAAGUGGUACGCGAGCUGGGUUCAGAACGUCGUGAGACAGUUCGGUCCCUAUCUGUCGUGGGCGUAGGAUAUUUGAAUGGAGCUGUCCCUAGUACGAGAGGACCGGGAUGGACGCACCUCUGGUGCACCAGUUGUCACGCCAGUGGCACAGCUGGGCAGCUACGUGCGGAAAGGAUAAACGCUGAAAGCAUCUAAGCGUGAAGCCCCCCAUAAGAUAAGAUAUCCCACUGAUUAAUUCAGGUAAGACCCCUUGUAGACUACAAGGUUGAUAGGUUGCAGGUGUAAGUAUGGUGACAUAUUUAGCUAGGCAAUACUAAUAGGUCGAGGGCUUGACCUU